Molecule: long non-coding RNA, 411 nt
Organism: Gorilla gorilla gorilla (western lowland gorilla)
Lineage: Eukaryota; Metazoa; Chordata; Mammalia; Primates; Hominidae
Exons: 2
Source: RefSeq, a predicted model, not a curated record
UGAAAGCUGAGCAGAAUUACGUAAGUCACUCCAGGCAGAAGACUGAAGAGCCAGGGCCUGGUUGACCUGUGCCCUGUGAACCUGAAUGACAAGGUGCAGCCUCGCCAGCAAGCACAUGAGCUGCCCCUGGAGCAGAUAAUUUUCCCCAGCUAGAGUGCCAGAUUCCAAGCAAGAGAAACACUCGAUGUCCAUUACUGGCUUUGAAGAUGAAGGGGACCAGAGACCUCAUGGUACAACCGCAAGGAACUGAAUUCUGCUCACAACCAGAUUGAACUUGGAAGUGGAUUUUUCCCUUGUCCCUUCAGAUACCUUGACUUUGGCCAUGCGAGUCCUUACACAGAAGACCUAGUCAUGUCACGCCGGACUACUGACCCACAGAAACUGUGAGAUAAUAAAUGUGUGUUGUUUGAA